This 16-nucleotide small RNA is filed under the name Arabidopsis thaliana (thale cress). Its description in RNAcentral is "ATSL253700". Lineage: Eukaryota; Viridiplantae; Streptophyta; Magnoliopsida; Brassicales; Brassicaceae. The record is from RNAcentral.
CAAAAAAAACCAAAAA